GACGAACGCUGGCGGCGUGCUUAACACAUGCAAGUCGAACGGAAAGGCCCUGCUUUUGUGGGGUGCUCGAGUGGCGAACGGGUGAGUAACACGUGAGUAACCUGCCCUUGACUUUGGGAUAACUUCAGGAAACUGGGGCUAAUACCGGAUAGGAGCUCCUGCUGCAUGGUGGGGGUUGGAAAGUUUCGGCGGUUGGGGAUGGACUCGCGGCUUAUCAGCUUGUUGGUGGGGUAGUGGCUUACCAAGGCUUUGACGGGUAGCCGGCCUGAGAGGGUGACCGGCCACAUUGGGACUGAGAUACGGCCCAGACUCCUACGGGAGGCAGCAGGGGGGAAUAUGGCACAAUGGGCGGAAGCCUGAUGCAGCAACGCCGCGUGCGGGAUGACGGCCUUCGGGUGGUAAACCGCUUUCGCCUGUGACGAAGCGUGAGGGACGGUAAUGGGUAAAGAAGCACCGGCGAACUACGU
Molecule: ribosomal RNA, 467 nt
Filed under: uncultured bacterium
Lineage: Bacteria
Description: partial 16S ribosomal RNA
Rfam family: Bacterial small subunit ribosomal RNA
Source: RNAcentral